This 231-nucleotide ribosomal RNA is filed under the name uncultured Staphylococcus sp. RNAcentral describes it as "partial 16S ribosomal RNA". It matches the Rfam family "Bacterial small subunit ribosomal RNA", at positions 109 to 334 of the family's 1533-position model. Lineage: Bacteria; Bacillati; Bacillota; Bacilli; Caryophanales; Staphylococcaceae. The record is from RNAcentral.
AGUAACACGUGGAUAACCUACCUAUAAGACUGGGAUAACUUCGGGAAACCGGAGCUAAUACCGGAUGAUAUUUUGAACCGCAUGGUUCAAAAGUGAAAGACGGUCUUGCUGUCACUUAUAGAUGGAUCCGCGCUGCAUUAGCUAGUUGGUAAGGUAACGGCUUCCCAAGGCAACGAUGCAUAGCCGACCUGAGAGGGUGAUCGGCCACACUGGAACUGAGACACGGUCCAG